CUUGCAGGGUACUCGAGUGGCGAACGGGCGAGUAACACGUGGGUGAUCUGCCCUGCACUUCGGGAUAAGCUUGGGAAACUGGGUCUAAUACCGGAUAGGAACCAUCCUUAGUGUGGUGGUUGGAAAGUUUUUUCGGUGUAGGAUGAGCUCGCGGCCUAUCAGCUUGUUGGUGGGGUAAUGGCCUACCAAGGCGGCGACGGGUAACCGGCCUGAGAGGGUGUACGGCCACAUUGGGACUGAGAUACGGCCCAG
RNAcentral lists this ribosomal RNA (252 nucleotides) under uncultured Actinomycetales bacterium. RNAcentral describes it as "partial 16S ribosomal RNA". It matches the Rfam family "Bacterial small subunit ribosomal RNA", at positions 79 to 334 of the family's 1533-position model. Lineage: Bacteria; Bacillati; Actinomycetota; Actinomycetes; Actinomycetales. The record is from RNAcentral.